GAUAACUCCGGGAAACCGGGGCUAAUACCGGAUGGUUGUUUGAACCGCAUGGUUCAAACAUAAAAGGUGGCUUCGGCUACCACUUACAGAUGGACCCGCGGCGCAUUAGCUAGUUGGUGAGGUAACGGCUCACCAAGGCAACGAUGCGUAGCCGACCUGAGAGGGUGAUCGGCCACACUGGGACUGAGACACGGCCCAGACUCCUACGGGAGGCAGCAGUAGGGAAUCUUCCGCAAUGGACGAAAGUCUGACGGAGCAACGCCGCGUGAGUGAUGAAGGUUUUCGGAUCGUAAAGCUCUGUUGUUAGGGAAGAACAAGUACCGUUCGAAUAGGGCGGUACCUUGACGGUACCUAACCAGAAAGCCACGGCUAACUACGUGCCAGCAGCCGCGGUAAUACGUAGGUGGCAAGCGUUGUCCGGAAUUAUUGGGCGUAAAGGGCUCGCAGGCGGUUUCUUAAGUCUGAUGUGAAAGCCCCCGGCUCAACCGGGGAGGGUCAUUGGAAACUGGGGAACUUGAGUGCAGAAGAGGAGAGUGGAAUUCCACGUGUAGCGG
Molecule: ribosomal RNA, 554 nt
Filed under: Bacillus sp. PCAM34
Lineage: Bacteria; Bacillati; Bacillota; Bacilli; Caryophanales; Bacillaceae
Description: bacterial SSU rRNA
Rfam family: Bacterial small subunit ribosomal RNA
Source: RNAcentral